CACAUUGUCUUCAGGUUGUUAGUUGUAAUUUUCAGCCAGAUGGGGAAAAAACCUCAAUGAUAUUCACAAUGAAUUGCCACCAAACCAAGGUCUUGGGGUAACCAGGACUCCUUCAUUAUGUGUAUUUCUUUGACAAGUUGAAUAUUAACCUUCAUUCCCUUCUGAGCCUUGUUUUCUUGCUGAAGGAACUGGAAUCCGGACUAUCAAGCUCUUUGGAGUGAAUUAGAGACUUUAAUGAGGUUCAGUUGAGGAUUUAAGAAGGUGGCUGGCCUUAGCACAAGUCCAAGAUCCCACUUUUGCCUCCUUGCGACUCAGAAUUCAUAAACUUUAAAAAUGGGAUCUUCAAAGACACCUGAAAGCAGGUGAGGUUUGAGAAUCCAGUUUGGACCAACCUCUAGGAUUUAGACUGGAAAUGGAAUCAUGAUCAUUUUCAAACAAAAACAAAGAACUGGGUAUGUAGUUCCUCAAACAGAUUUGCUCAGACCCAAGAAUAUUGAUGGAAAACUAUCAGAGAUAACAGCAAGGAAGCUACCUGAAAGUAAAAAAGGAACAUUACAAGAAGACAGGAGUUCGCUUUGACUAUGACUAGAAUCAAAAGACUGUUUCAGUAUAAUACCAAGGAGGGAGAGGUACUCUGGGUCCACGCACAGGAGGAAACCUCUGGUGGAGUGGGAGUGUAUUCAUGGAAGUCUGGAUCCUGGUUCCUGUGAGAGCAGCCAGCUCUGCGACAAACUGAACUUUCAGGGGAAAAGUUACUUUAUUAAAGAGGAAAGGUAACUAUUCAAUGUAGACCCAGGUUCAUGUUUUAUCAUGUUUUGUACUGGAACCAUUUGUUCCCAUCACUCUCUUGUUUCUCAUGAACUUUUCAUUGUUACUUAAAUAA
Mauremys mutica (yellowpond turtle) is the source of this 883-nucleotide long non-coding RNA. RefSeq lists it as uncharacterized. The record is from RefSeq and is a predicted model, not a curated record. The transcript has 3 exons. NCBI's taxonomy places the organism in Eukaryota, Metazoa, Chordata, Testudines, Geoemydidae.